This 265-nucleotide ribosomal RNA is filed under the name uncultured archaeon. Its description in RNAcentral is "partial 16S ribosomal RNA". It matches the Rfam family "Archaeal small subunit ribosomal RNA", at positions 716 to 982 of the family's 1478-position model. The record is from RNAcentral.
AGUCACUGACAUUAGAUACCCGCGUAGUCCCAGCCGUAAACAAUGUGCGUUAGGUGUGUCGGUAACCACGCGUUACUGAUGCGCCGAAGAGAAAUCGUGAAACGCACCACCUGGGAAGUACGGUCGCAAGGCUGAAACUUAAAGGAAUUGGCGGGGGAGCACCACAACAGGUGGAGCCUGCGGUUUAAUUGGAUUCAACGCCGGACAUCUCACCGGAUAAGACAGCUGAAUGAUAGUCGGGAUGAAGACUCUACUUGACUAGCUG